RNAcentral lists this ribosomal RNA (1373 nucleotides) under uncultured bacterium. Its description in RNAcentral is "bacterial SSU rRNA". It matches the Rfam family "Bacterial small subunit ribosomal RNA", at positions 28 to 1381 of the family's 1533-position model. The record is from RNAcentral.
GAUGAACGCUGGCGGCGUGCCUAAUACACGCAAGUCGAGCGAACGGACGAGAAGCUUGCUUCUCUGAUGUUAGCGGCGGACGGGUGAGUAACACGUGGAUAACCUACCUAUAAGACUGGGAUAACUUCGGGAAACCGGAGCUAAUACCGGAUAAUAUUUUGAACCGCAUGGUUCAAAAGUGAAAGACGGUCUUGCUGUCACUUAUAGAUGGAUCCGCGCUGCAUUAGCUAGUUGGUAAGGUAACGGCUUACCAAGGCAACGAUGCAUAGCCGACCUGAGAGGGUGAUCGGCCACACUGGAACUGAGACACGGUCCAGACUCCUACGGGAGGCAGCAGUAGGGAAUCUUCCGCAAUGGGCGAAAGCCUGACGGAGCAACGCCGCGUGAGUGAUGAAGGUCUUCGGAUCGUAAAACUCUGUUAUUAGGGAAGAACAUAUGUGUAAGUAACUGUGCACAUCUUGACGGUACCUAAUCAGAAAGCCACGGCUAACUACGUGCCAGCAGCCGCGGUAAUACGUAGGUGGCAAGCGUUAUCCGGAAUUAUUGGGCGUAAAGCGCGCGUAGGCGGUUUUUUAAGUCUGAUGUGAAAGCCCACGGCUCAACCGUGGAGGGUCAUUGGAAACUGGAAAACUUGAGUGCAGAAGAGGAAAGUGGAAUUCCAUGUGUAGCGGUGAAAUGCGCAGAGAUAUGGAGGAACACCAGUGGCGAAGGCGACUUUCUGGUCUGUAACUGACGCUGAUGUGCGAAAGCGUGGGGAUCAAACAGGAUUAGAUACCCUGGUAGUCCACGCCGUAAACGAUGAGUGCUAAGUGUUAGGGGGUUUCCGCCCCUUAGUGCUGCAGCUAACGCAUUAAGCACUCCGCCUGGGGAGUACGACCGCAAGGUUGAAACUCAAAGGAAUUGACGGGGACCCGCACAAGCGGUGGAGCAUGUGGUUUAAUUCGAAGCAACGCGAAGAGCCUUACCAAAUCUUGACAUCCUUUGACAACUCUAGAGAUAGAGCCUUCCCCUUCGGGGGGGCAAAGUGACAGGUGGUGCAUGGUUGUCGUCAGCUCGUGUCGUGAGAUGUUGGGUUAAGUCCCGCAACGAGCGCAACCCUUAAGCUUAGUUGCCAUCAUUAAGUUGGGCACUCUAAGUUGACUGCCGGUGACAAACCGGAGGAAGGUGGGGAUGACGUCAAAUCAUCAUGCCCCUUAUGAUUUGGGCUACACACGUGCUACAAUGGACAAUACAAAGGGCAGCGAAACCGCGAGGUCAAGCAAAUCCCAUAAAGUUGUUCUCAGUUCGGAUUGUAGUCUGCAACUCGACUACAUGAAGCUGGAAUCGCUAGUAAUCGUAGAUCAGCAUGCUACGGUGAAUACGUUCCCGGGUCU